GGCAAUGACUCUGACUUCGAGGUGGUGUACCAGCAAUGCCUUAGGUGCUGCAAGGCCUUCCUGGAGAAGACUCACUAGCUGGUCCUAACCACCACCACUGAGCAACCCACUCCUCAGUGCUGUGCCCAAGGGUGGUGGCAGUCCUUAGCCCCAUACCCCACCUCUCUUUUCAGCUGACUUACUGUAUAUCUUUAAAAUAAUUGUAGGUGGAAAUCAGGCAUUUGUUCAGAAGGAUAAAAACAUUUGAGGCAGACAUUUGAGGUGUGGCUCAGUAUUCUUAGACUAACAAAAGCUCUGGCCUCGCCAUAAUUACAAAAUAGUGGAACGAGCAACUGUGGAACAAAAGAAAACCCAAUAAAGUAAGAAUGACCCACAAGGUCCAGAUCAGCCUUUGAGCCCAGCGAGCCUGGGUAGUCUGGUCUAACUGGAGUGUGAGCAUGGCCAGCACCCAGUGUGCUGUUUGCUUGCCUUACACUCUCUAUUCUAUAUUGUCUCUUAUUGUGACAAUAUCUCCAUCCAUGGCAGCCUUCCAUUUAACACUGGGAGAGUUUAAACCCAGACACACCGAGGGUUCAGAUAUUUGAGAGAGGAGAACCUGGAUAUGAUGAUGGGCCUGGAACUCCAGCAGGCCAUCCUGGGCUGUACAGUGACUCCCUGUCUGAAAGAUAAAAAUGCUAACAGAUGGGAGCAACAGGUUGGUGAAGUUAACACC
Molecule: long non-coding RNA, 712 nt
Filed under: Rattus norvegicus (Norway rat)
Lineage: Eukaryota; Metazoa; Chordata; Mammalia; Rodentia; Muridae
Description: long non-coding RNA NONRATT021477
Source: RNAcentral